GAUGAACGCUGGCGGCGUGCUUUAACACAUGCAAGUCGAACGGGAAUUACUUUAUUGAACUUACGGUCGAUUUAAUUUAAUUCCAGUGGCGGACGGGUGAGUAACGCGUGGGUAACCUGCCUUAUACAGGGGGAGUAACAGUCAGAAAUGGCUGCUAAUACCGCAUAAGCGCACGGAACCGCAUGGUUCUGUGUGAAAAACUCCGGUGGUAUAAGAUGGACCCGCGUUGGAUUAGCUUGUUGGCAGGUAACGGCCUACCAAGGCGACGAUCCAUAGCCGGCCUGAGAGGGUGAACGGCCACAUUGGGACUGAGACACGGCCCAGACUCCUACGGGAGGCAGCG
This 343-nucleotide ribosomal RNA is filed under the name uncultured bacterium. RNAcentral's name for it is "bacterial SSU rRNA". It matches the Rfam family "Bacterial small subunit ribosomal RNA", at positions 28 to 353 of the family's 1533-position model. The record is from RNAcentral.